UGGGGAAUAUUGGACAAUGGGCGAAAGCCUGAUCCAGCCAUGCCGCGUGUGUGAAGAAGGUCUUCGGAUUGUAAAUCACUUUAAGUUGGGAGGAAGGGCAGUAAGCGAAUACCUUGCUGUUUUGACGUUACCGACAGAAUAAGCACCGGCUAACUCUGUGCCGGCAGCCGCGGUAAUACAGAGGGUGCAAGCGUUAAUCGGAAUUACUGGGCGUAAAGCGCGCGUAGGUGGUUCGUUAAGUUGAAUGUGAAAGCCCCGGGCUCAACCUGGGAACUGCAUCCAAAACUGGCGAGCUAGAGUAGGGCAGAGGGGGGUGGAAUUUCCUGUGUAGCGGUGAAAUGAGUAGAUAUAGGAAGGAACACAAGUGGCGAAGGCGACCACCUGGGCUCAUACUGACACUGAGGUGCGAAAGCGUGGGGAGCAAACAGG
Molecule: ribosomal RNA, 429 nt
Filed under: Pseudomonadota bacterium
Lineage: Bacteria; Pseudomonadati; Pseudomonadota
Description: Proteobacteria bacterium partial 16S ribosomal RNA
Rfam family: Bacterial small subunit ribosomal RNA
Source: RNAcentral